RNAcentral lists this long non-coding RNA (4348 nucleotides) under Panax ginseng (ginseng). RNAcentral describes it as "long non-coding RNA (PGIN_LNC017254)". Lineage: Eukaryota; Viridiplantae; Streptophyta; Magnoliopsida; Apiales; Araliaceae. The record is from RNAcentral.
CGGACAAGGAGGGAGUAAUAUAACAUUUGGGUUUUUUUUUUCUCCUAGCCAAGUGUCCCAUAAAUCUUAUCUCCAAAUAUUUUGGAUAGUUAUUCAAGCAAGCUAAGAGAAAGAGAGAAAAUAAGGAAGUGAAAGAUAGAGAAAAUAAGAAAGAGAAAGAGAAAAAAUGGAGAGAGAGAAAGCUUGGAGUCGGCAGCCCAUGAGAGAGGAAGGAGAAAGAGAUUUCUUCCAUGCUUCAUCAAGCUAUUUUGAGGAAGAAGAAGAAGAAUUGCACAAGAACUAGGUAUAACAAAUUAAACUCUAGUAAUUAGAUUAAUUAGAUUAUGUAUUUUAUUUUGGUUGUUUUGAACCAAAUCAUUAGUUUAUGACCUUGAACAUAAAAACCUUAUAUUUUCAUGUUAAAUGAUGUUUUGUGUUUAGAUCUAACUAUUUUGGGUGUUGAAAAGCUUAAACAAAGAAUGAAAAGAAAACUGUUUUGGAUCAGUUUGGUUCAGGGGUAAUUUCGUUCGUUUUUGUUGCUCUAAAAAUUCUGUGCUUUUGGUAUGUUGUAGUACACUGAAUAAGCUUUCCAUAGACUCUGAAACAAACUAAAUCCGACUUCGUAGCAAAGAGCUAUGCUAUUUAAAAGUAGUAGAGUCGAAACUGUCCAAGAAAUGCAGUGAAGUCUCCUUGUACUGAAUUUCUGGGCUGAUAUAUUCGGAAUCUGGAAAAAAGUCAGUAGGGAAGAGUUGUAGUCCCAGAAGUUAGCUUCGCGUAGGCUCAAGAAUCGCCUAAAAAUGUUUUAAAACAAAAACGUUAUGACUAUUUUAGUGCAAGAGGGUCAAGCUGGAAAACAUUUGAAAACUAUUACGAGUGGACAUUUUUGGAGUCUGUUUUAGGCUGCCUAUGAGAUCCGAAAUUAGUGGCUAAUAUUUUUUAAAAAAAUACUUUGGUAUACCAUGUAUAACAUAUUCAAAAAUCAUAUUAAUCGGAGUUACGAGUAACGUGUACGAAAAUCGCAAAGUAGCUGUUUCGCUAUACGCAACCGUAGCUGGGCAGCACUAGUCGUGCAACAGCAAGGUCAGGCGCUUCCAGCGCCUGCUGGCGCCGCCGGUGCCUGCUGUGCAGGUUGCUUGCUGGGGUUUUGACACGCUAUUUUUGAUGGGUUAUGUAAUUAGUUUUUGCGGUUAGAAAUUUUUCUAAAAUACUAUGACAUGCCCAAAAUUAUUGUUAUAGGACUUAUGGUUUGAAAGUAAAAAAUGAGCAAAGGAGCAUGUCAGAACUUAAAAUUUAAGUGACGCCGAGCGUUGGCGCGUCAAGCAAUUUUGACGUUUGACGUUCCAAAUCGCAUUCUGGUAAAAUAAUAAGUCAUAAUAAAUCUAAUAAAGUCCUACGGGGCGAGAUUUGAUUAUAAAUGAUAUUUUAUGCCGAGAAACUUUCUUUCGAACAAAAAUAAAGCAAAAAAAAUAUGCAAUAAACAUAAAUUUACAUAUUUAAACAAAAUAAAAACUAUAAUUGCCUAUAAAAUUAUUUCGUGGUGUAACGAAGAGCGAGAAACCUUUAAAAUUUUGAAUUAAUCAUAAAAAUGAUAUUUUGAGGUUUUCGGGGUUAAAAUGUAGUUUUUGAGCUGAGAAUUAUGUAACGAAUUAUAUAUAUAUAUAUACAUAUAUAUAUAUAUAUAUAUAAAGCAAAAAUGCGAUUAUUUGUAAAACGAAAAAUAAAGCGAAUGUGCUAGCAGGAUAAAAUAUUUAUAUAUGAGGCAACAGUUCGUGUUGACUCGGACAAAAUGAUAUAAAAAAUAUUAUUAUUAUUUAAAUUAAAGAAAUAAUAUAAUAAAUUGAAUUUUACUAUAAAAGCUACGUAUUAUUUGUUUAAACCCCGAAUUUAUGAGUAAAGGUAAAAGAUAUUUUUGAAAUUGAAUAAAAAUGGUUUAAGCUUCAAGACGUAAAAUAUUUACAUCUUAAAAUGUGAAGUGAUUGAAAUAUUAUUAAAUGGUUAAUAAUAUUAGAUAAGAAUUAAAAUAUUAUUAAAUGAUUAAUAAUAUUAGUUAAGGGUUAAAAUAUUAUUAAAGGAUUAAUAAUAUUAGUGUUUGAUUUGAAUAUUAUUUAAGGAUUAAUAAUAUUAUUGUUUGAUUUGAAUAUUAUUAAAGGGUUAAUAAUAUUGGUAAAUGAUUAAAAUAUAAUUAAAUAAUUAAUAAUAUUUGUGAAUGAUUAAUAUCCUAUUAAAUGAUUAAUAAAGUUAAGAAGUGAUUGAAUAUUAUUAAGUGAUUAAUAAUAUUAAGUGACUAAAAUAUUAUUAAAGGAUUAAUAAUAUUAGUGUUUGAUUUGAAUAUUAUUAAAGGGUUAAUAAUAUUGGUAAAUGAUUAAAAUAUAAUUAAAUAAUUAAUAAUAUUUGUGAAUGAUUAAUAUCCUAUUAAAUGAUUAAUAAAGUUAAGAAGUGAUUGAAUAUUAUUAAGUGAUUAAUAAUAUUAAGUGACUAAAAUAUUAUUAAAGGAUUAAUAAUAUUAGACAAAAGUUUAAGAUAAUGGUUAAGUGAUAGUAAUAUUAUUAAGAGUUAAUAAUAUUACUAAUGAGUAAAAGAAAUAUUCAAUGUCUGAUUAUGUGGCAAAAUGCUAGCUAAUUUAUUAUUCAAGUAAUAGUAUUAUGAGAUAAAAUGUAUUAUAUUAAUUGAAAGAUCAAUUUUAUAACUAAUAGGUCUUUCAUAAUAGAUUAAAUUAAAUUGUGUAGCAGUAAUCGACGGUACAAGCAAGUUUCUUAACUCAAACUCGAGUUAUUAUUUUUCAAGAAUGCUAGUGGAUUAAUUAUUGACAAUUAUUUCACGUCUAUGAUUAUUGUUAUUCGCACUUAAUGCGUGUUGCAUAUGUUUAUCGGGUAUGAAAGACUGUUCACCUUGAUUACCAUAAGGUUCAAUUAAAUUUGUUCAUUGUCAUUGUUGACCACUCAACAUUAACUAUUCAGUUAUUCAAGUUUUGAUUCUUACACUUUCACAAUUAUAUUACAUUGUUGAAAACUUGAAAGCUUAUUACUUUUCAAUCAUGAUAUGUCCUUCUUAUAUUUAAACUUGUUGGGCAAAGUAGUUGCUCACUCUUGCUAUGUCAUGAUAACAUUUUCAAAUUAAGACGAAGGUUCGAAGGAAGACAGAGACAAGGAUAAAUUCCAUGAGUAGAUUGUUAUGCCCAUUUUACUAUUACGUUGUUUGAUGUGAAUAAAUUAUGUAAAUCUUUUUAGAUUUCAAAGGUACGUAUGUAAGUUAAGGUUGUUAGUCCUUGGGUUAUGUGGUACGUAAGAGCUUAUUGUAUAAACAAUUUAUAUUUAUAUAUGAUCUGCAUUAGUUUAUAGAAUGUGUUUGAAGAUGAUGUAUCGUGACGCACUAGGUCCGAGGUUCAAGGGACCCAGAUUUGGGGGCGCUACAUAUGUGAUGUUUUUAAGUUCAAAUUUACGCAAUGCUUACUUGAUUGUGUGAAUUCCAUACUUAUGCAAAUCCUUAGUAUUUGUACAAGUGUCCAAGCUAUGCUAUGACAUAAAACUAUUAAAGCUUUAAAGUUCGAUUAUCCAUGAAUUGUUUAAGAAAGUGUCGAUGCCAUUUUGUUUUGGCUAGACGAAUGUUAAAGUGUUUUAUCGAUUUGAUAUUAAAUUUUUGAAAUGUUAUUGAUGUUAAGUAGAGUACGUUAUCUAAACCAAGUUGUUUUGGUACAGAUUCUUGAAUGAACAACCCUAAUAUUAGGGGCAUUUUUUGUCAGGUAUUCUGGCACGACCAUGAAGCGCAUAAACAAACACAUAGUCAUUUAAAGUAAGAGUAUUGUACAUUAACAUAGAGUAUCAUAGACUGAUCACCUAGAAGUCCUCGUAAGGAAAGACGAUUUACAAUUGAAUUACUGUUAAUUAACCUUUUCAAAAAGAUGAAAAAGAACCGCUCAACAUAAAUGUUCAAUAUGUCAUUUCAAAAAAAAAUUAAACGAGAGAGAAAGUAUUCUUGUUUUUUUCGAAAUGUUUCACAACUAUUGUUCAGUUGUUGAAAAAAGAUAAUAUGAUUCUUGAUUUUGUUGUUAUUAAAUUGUCAUACUAACUGAACAAUUAAAUGUUCAUCUUUGCUUAAUUUAAAUGAUUUCAGCUGAACCAGAACAGAUUGAAGGAUUCGGUAACACAAGUAAAAGAAAAAGAUGAAUGAAUAGAAGACCUUGUAAUAGCAUAAUAUUAUUAUGUAAUAGAUAAUAUUAUUAUGUUUUGAAUAUGUAAUGGUAAUAAUACCUGGGAUUGAACAGAUAUGUUUGUUGUAAAAUAGUAAUUACAUUCGUGUCAUUGAAAAUUUAUAGAUGGAUGUGUGUGGAUGAAUAUUUCCGUGUAACAUCACAUCCAAGAUUUAAAAGUAC